UACGGAGGGUGCAAGCGUUAUCCGGAUUUACUGGGUUUAAAGGGUGCGUAGGUGGGCAAGUAAGUCAGUGGUGAAAUCUCCGGGCUUAACCCGGAAACUGCCAUUGAUACUAUUUGUCUUGAAUACUGUGGAGGUCAGCGGAAUAUGUCAUGUAGCGGUGAAAUGCUUAGAUAUGACAUAGAACACCAAUUGCGAAGGCAGCUGGCUACACAAAUAUUGACACUGAGGCACGAAAGCGUGGGGAUCAAACAGG
This 253-nucleotide ribosomal RNA is filed under the name uncultured bacterium. RNAcentral's name for it is "partial 16S ribosomal RNA". It matches the Rfam family "Bacterial small subunit ribosomal RNA", at positions 524 to 776 of the family's 1533-position model. The record is from RNAcentral.